CUAUUCAGUUUCCACACUCAUUUUGUAUCUUUCUUAAAUGAGUCGUCUAUAGAUGUAUGGUUAAAUUACAAUAAAAGGAUAAGGAUUUUAUGGCUUUGGUUUAUAAUUGGAGUGAAAAGGGAUCUUCACAUUGUCAAAACGGUUUAUACUAUCUACUCUUAACUUCCACUUAUUAAUUACGCAGGUGACGAAAGGUGUUGUAGUUUCAAGAAUAAGAGGAAGGUGAAUGAACUAUGUAGCAACGAAUGGUUAAGCUUCACAAACAGAAAAUGUUUCGAUUCUUUAGCUAAUGAAAUAACUCAACAGAAAGAAACAAGUGACAUUCCACGCUUAGGAUUGGUACCACCUAUUCAAAGAAUUGCUGAAGAGCAACCACGCAGAUUUUUGGAUAACAGCUUUACCAGUGGUUUUAGAACAACUAAUGUUGCAAAAACUAUAGACAUAAAUGGAAAACCCAGCAUUCAGACAACAGAGGACACGCUGUUCUUGGGGUCUAAUGUGUUGUCACAGGUGACUUUAUCAAGAGAUGACUCAAAGCAUGCUAGGAUGAAAAGAGCAGCCAAGAUAGCUAAGAAAAGGAAGUGUGUGGGUGUUGCUUCCCAACAAGGUAAACAUACCAUACUCUGUAGUAGAGUAUUCAAAGAAAUUUCCUUCUUUCCAAGCAAGAGCAUCAAAAUAUGUUGCAUCGACUGAUAGCCAUGAUUAUAGUUAGUUAAUGAACAAAAAAAUUAUUGAUAUCAUAGGUUAUCCAUGUGACUCAUAAAAAAUUUUUCGUACAGAAGUUACUAUUUCAUUAAUUGACAUCCUAAUUCAUAACUAAUUUUUCAGCUUGUAGUAGAGAUAAUACAAUUUAUGAUAACAAUGAAUUGGGACUACAAAGGCAUCCAGCCUAUUAGGUUAAAGGAUCUUUAUAUAUAUAAGCAACUAUUGGUUGCUGAUACAUCUAUUACUCAUUGGAAACCAUUAGGUGUUUUGGUUUUGU
This is a non-coding RNA of Arachis ipaensis, 982 nucleotides long. NCBI's taxonomy places the organism in Eukaryota, Viridiplantae, Streptophyta, Magnoliopsida, Fabales, Fabaceae. The record is from RefSeq and is a predicted model, not a curated record.